This is a long non-coding RNA of Empidonax traillii (willow flycatcher), 221 nucleotides long. RefSeq lists it as uncharacterized. The transcript is spliced from 2 exons. The record is from RefSeq and is a predicted model, not a curated record. Lineage: Eukaryota; Metazoa; Chordata; Aves; Passeriformes; Tyrannidae.
UCGUGACCCUGGCACGGCUGUGCUGGAAGAAAGCAGUGCAAUAAAGAGUAAUCCCUUGUGACUGGCAUGAAGGGUGUCUCCCAGUGAAAAAGUGGUAAUGGGAGUAACCUCUUCAACAAGGGCAACAUUGUCCACUCGGCAGCUUGGCUAUCUCUUGGAGAAGAGCUUUGCACCAGGAUCAGCCUUGAUUCACCCCAGACAUUCAGAUGGAAACCCAGAGA